GUCGGUAUAGUAUAGUGGUUAGUACGAAGCUUUGUGGCAACACGGAUCAGCUUAGACCCAUGUUCGAUUCAUGGUACCGACA
Non-coding RNA from Tricharina praecox, 82 nucleotides. Lineage: Eukaryota; Fungi; Ascomycota; Pezizomycetes; Pezizales; Pyronemataceae. The record is from the annotation of a RefSeq genome assembly.